Ictalurus punctatus (channel catfish) is the source of this 488-nucleotide long non-coding RNA. RefSeq lists it as uncharacterized. The transcript has 4 exons. The record is from RefSeq and is a predicted model, not a curated record. NCBI's taxonomy places the organism in Eukaryota, Metazoa, Chordata, Actinopteri, Siluriformes, Ictaluridae.
CCGAUUUGACUACAUAUGUCUGUGCGCGCGCGCCGGGGAGACUGACCUAGACACGGUGGCCUCGUCUAUUUCGCUCGAGAAUAUAUAAGUUCUUGCCCAGAAAUCCGCUUCUAGAAAAUCGCCGUUCCCGAGUUUGGCCACACGAGGGCAGUCAAGCUCCAUCUAGCGCAAUACACAACGCCGCCUGAAACUGAAGCUUUCUCAAAGGACAGUGGCGAGGCAUAAAACAGGAGGCUAACGAGCUGCUUGCUAAACUUCGAUCUGAGCAGAGCGCACUGCUACGUCCUUCAUCAGCUCAAGAAAGUGCCACACGGGCCAGCUAUCAGAUUUCCUGUAUUUUACAUCAAGAACAGCUAUGUGCCCAAUCCAUCGGGCUUGUGGAUGUGAUGCGUGACGUCGUCAAAAUUGUGAAUGAUAUACGCUCCAAGGUGCUCUCUCACCUGCAGUUCAAGGUACUGUUGGAUGAGAUGGAUGCACAAUAUGGUGAU